This 92-nucleotide transfer RNA is filed under the name Dehalococcoidia bacterium. RNAcentral's name for it is "tRNA-Ser". It matches the Rfam family "tRNA". From Rfam's summary of the family: Transfer RNA (tRNA) molecules are approximately 80 nucleotides in length. Their secondary structure includes four short double-helical elements and three loops (D, anti-codon, and T loops). Further hydrogen bonds mediate the characteristic L-shaped molecular structure. tRNAs have two regions of fundamental functional importance: the anti-codon, which is responsible for specific mRNA codon recognition, and the 3' end, to which the tRNAs corresponding amino acid is attached (by aminoacyl-tRNA synthetases). tRNAs cope with the degeneracy of the genetic code in two manners: having more than one tRNA (with a specific anti-codon) for a particular amino acid; and 'wobble' base-pairing, i.e. permitting non-standard base-pairing at the 3rd anti-codon position. Lineage: Bacteria; Bacillati; Chloroflexota; Dehalococcoidia. The record is from RNAcentral.
GGAGAGGUACUGCAGUGGUUUAACAGGCACGCCUGGAAAGCGUGUGUCGGGCGCAAGUCUGACCGCGGGUUCGAAUCCCGCCCUCUCCGCCA